CCUGAUGACUAUAGCAAGUUGGUACCACCCCUUCCCAUCCCGAACAGGACCGUGAAACGACUUCGCGCCGAUGAUAGUGCUGCAACCAGUGUGAAAGUAGGUCAUCGUCAGGCUUGUUACUCCGCAAUAGCCUCUCCAUCUCUGAUGGGGAGGCUUUUUGCUUUGCACUCUGGGACUUUGCGAUUUGCGGAGCCGCGUUGGGGGAGCGUUUUAGCGUUUAGCCCUUCUGGCUCUGGGCUUCGCUUCGGCUUGGAAGCUUGGGCUGCCUCUGCGAGCGUACCUCCAU
Molecule: ribosomal RNA, 286 nt
Filed under: Herbaspirillum sp. SJZ106
Lineage: Bacteria; Pseudomonadati; Pseudomonadota; Betaproteobacteria; Burkholderiales; Oxalobacteraceae
Also listed under: 1 other name
Source: RNAcentral